Molecule: unclassified non-coding RNA, 1922 nt
Filed under: Ixodes scapularis (black-legged tick)
Lineage: Eukaryota; Metazoa; Arthropoda; Arachnida; Ixodida; Ixodidae
Description: potassium voltage-gated channel protein Shaw, transcript variant X1
Rfam family: Potassium channel RNA editing signal (bases 1151-1264)
Source: RNAcentral
AGCGGCGGCGUAGCGUCGGCCUUGAACCAUGAACCUGGACGCCGAGAACCGGGUGGUGCUCAACGUGGGCGGCAUCCGGCACGAGACGUACAAGGCGACCCUGAAGAAGAUCCCCGCCACGCGCCUUUCCAGGCUCACCGAGGCCCUGGCCAACUACGACCCGGUGCUCAACGAGUACUUCUUCGACCGACACCCGGGCGUCUUCGGACAGAUCCUCAACUACUACCGCACCGGGAAGCUCCACUAUCCUACCGACGUCUGCGGGCCUCUCUUCGAAGAAGAACUUGAGUUCUGGGGUCUGGACGCCAACCAGGUGGAACCCUGUUGCUGGAUGACCUACACUCAGCACAGGGACACCCAAGAGACCCUUGCGGUCUUGGAUCGGCUCGACCUAGACACAGACAAGCCAAGUGACGAAGAGAUCGCUCGCAAGUUCGGCAUGGAAGAGGAGUACCUGGCGGGCACGUUGUCCUGCUGGCAGCGGGUAAAGCCCAAGAUAUGGUCGCUGUUCGACGAGCCCUACUCGUCCACGGCGGCCAAGGUGAUCGGCGUCAUGUCCGUGUUCUUCAUCUGCGUGUCCAUUCUGUCCUUCUGCCUCAAGACCCACCCCAACAUGCGGGUGCCGGUCAUCAAGAACAUCACCGUGCACACGUCCGACAGCUCCGUGGCCUGGACCCUGGACAAGAUGCAGACCAACCCGCACGACGCCUUCUUCUACAUCGAGUGCGUCUGCAACGCCUGGUUCACCUUCGAGAUCAUCAUCCGCUUCGUGGCUAGCCCCAGCAAGCUGGACUUCGUGCGCGGAGCCGUCAACAUCAUCGACUUCACGGCCACCCUCUCCUUCUACAUCGACUUCACCCUGCAAAAGCUCGCCUCGCACCUGGAGAACGCCGACAUCCUCGAGUUCUUCUCCAUCAUCCGCAUCAUGAGACUGUUCAAACUUACGCGCCACUCGGCGGGACUCAAAAUCCUCAUCCAGACCUUCAAGGCCAGUGCCGGGGAGCUCAUCCUGCUUGUGUUCUUUCUCGUGUUGGGCAUCGUUAUCUUCGCCAGCCUCGUCUACUACGCCGAGCGCAUCCAGUCCAACCCGGAGAACGACUUUAACAGCAUACCGCUCGGCCUCUGGUGGGCGCUAGUGACGAUGACCACCGUCGGCUACGGCGACAUGGUGCCCAAGACGUACGCCGGCAUGUUCGUGGGCGCCCUGUGCGCGCUCGCCGGCGUGCUCACCAUCGCGCUUCCCGUGCCCGUGAUCGUGUCCAACUUCGCCAUGUUCUAUUCGCACACUCAGGCGCGGGCUAAAUUGCCCAAGAAGCGGCGACGCGUCGUGCCCAUCGAAGUGCCCAGGGGACCGCACCGCAGGCCCCAAGACCUAAAGAAUCCCAAGGACGCCUGCAAGCCGGGGAGGCAGCAGCAGGCCACGGGAGACGUCGCCGCUCCCCGGAGGAAUCAGACGCUGCGCUCAAGGGGUCCAGGCAACGGCGAAGAGUGCGUGCCCAUGCUGAUGCUGAACCAUUCGGAAACCGAGGCACCGGCGGCCAGCCGGCUGCACCGUAGGACCAGCAGCAACGCCGCCAGGCUGCUAGAGAUGGGCGCCUCCAGCAUCUCCUCCGCGGCCAACGUGGCGUGCAGCACGGGCGCCGACGGCAGCUCCUCGGCGGUGAAUCCGGCGUCGACGACGGCCAACCUGAUCCAGUUCACCGAUCUGAUGCACCGCGGAAGCACGCCAUCGGCCUCCGUCAAGAUCAUCGCCACCAAGAUCGAAACGUGAGGACCGGCCCGCGCUAGCCACGCCCGACGCGCCAUCGUCAUCUCAUCGCUUUCACUUCAGUGGGCCAACCGCGCAACAACAAAACAACUGAGGAGGAGCUUGGACUAGUUAUGCAAUGCAAAUACGGUGUGCGCGUGUACAUAGACAACCG